UAUUAGCUUAAAAUAAGAUUGGAGACUACAAGCAAUAGCUUAAAAACCCAAGAAUUUGGCGGUGUUUUAUUCAAUCAGGGGGACCUGUACUUUAAAUCGACAGUCCACGCUAAACUCUAUCUAAUUUUAAUAAUUUAGCUUGUAUACUGCCGUUUAAUAAGCUCUUUAGGUGCUCUUAUAAUAAAUAUAAAAAUUAUAAAUCAGGUCAUAGUGCAGCUUAUAGUUAGAUAGUAUAUGGGUCACAUUUUUAAAAAUAAAAUCAAAAUUAUAAAUUAAUUUUAUAAUAAAUUUAGGACUUGAUAGUAAUUAUAGAAUCAUUUAUACUAUAAUGAAUACGAACUUAAAACAAGU
Molecule: ribosomal RNA, 351 nt
Filed under: Orobdella dolichopharynx
Lineage: Eukaryota; Metazoa; Annelida; Clitellata; Hirudinida; Orobdellidae
Description: partial 12S ribosomal RNA
Source: RNAcentral